RNAcentral lists this ribosomal RNA (616 nucleotides) under uncultured bacterium. RNAcentral describes it as "bacterial SSU rRNA". It matches the Rfam family "Bacterial small subunit ribosomal RNA", at positions 338 to 943 of the family's 1533-position model. The record is from RNAcentral.
CCUACGGGAGGCAGCAGUGGGGAAUUUUGGACAAUGGGGGCAACCCUGAUCCAGCCAUGCCGCGUGAGUGAAGAAGGCCUUCGGGUUGUAAAGCUCUUUCGGCCGGAACGAAAUCGCGCACGUGAAUAACGUGCGUGGAUGACGGUACCGGAGUAAGAAGCACCGGCUAACUACGUGCCAGCAGCCGCGGUAAUACGUAGGGUGCGAGCGUUAAUCGGAAUUACUGGGCGUAAAGCGUGCGCAGGCGGUUCGCUAAGUCAGACGUGAAAGCCCCGGGCUUAACCUGGGAACGGCGUUUGAAACUGGCGGGCUCGAGUACGGCAGAGGGGGGUGGAAUUCCACGUGUAGCAGUGAAAUGCGUAGAUAUGUGGAGGAACACCGAUGGCGAAGGCAGCCCCCUGGGCCGAUACUGACGCUCAUGCACGAAAAGCGUGGGGAGCAAACAGGAUUAGAUACCCUGGUAGUCCACGCCCUAAACUAUGUCAACUAGUUGUCGGGGAAGCAAUUCCUUGGUAACGCAGCUAACGCGUGAAGUUGACCGCCUGGGGAGUACGGUCGCAAGAUUAAAACUCAAAGUAUAGUUAGCGUGNGAGAGNGCGAGACGACAGAGGAGGAG